This 202-nucleotide ribosomal RNA is filed under the name uncultured Lactobacillus sp. RNAcentral's name for it is "partial 16S ribosomal RNA". It matches the Rfam family "Bacterial small subunit ribosomal RNA", at positions 159 to 354 of the family's 1533-position model. The record is from RNAcentral. Lineage: Bacteria; Bacillati; Bacillota; Bacilli; Lactobacillales; Lactobacillaceae.
UUAACCGGUACGUAACAANACAGAUGAUGCCUAUCAACUGUUUAAAAGAUGGUUCUGCUAUCACUCUUGGAUGGACCUGCGGUGCAUUAGCUAGUUGGUAGGGUAACGGCCUACCAAGGCGAUGAUGCAUAGCCGAGUUGAGAGACUGAUCGGCCACAUUGGGACUGAGACACGGCCCAAACUCCUACGGGAGGCAGCAGAC